This is a long non-coding RNA of Vicia villosa (hairy vetch), 951 nucleotides long. RefSeq lists it as uncharacterized. The transcript has 3 exons. The record is from RefSeq and is a predicted model, not a curated record. Lineage: Eukaryota; Viridiplantae; Streptophyta; Magnoliopsida; Fabales; Fabaceae.
UGGAAUCAUAGAUUAAGGGGAUAACAUCUAAGGAUUCACGCAAUUGGGAGAGGGAUUUGAUUGACAGCAACGAGUAUAACAAGAUAUCGCUCAAGUUUCAAAGUGGAAGAUGAAGGAGAUCGAACUUACCGGGAUCAGAAGAUACGCGUGUGAUGGCAAGAAUACCAGAGAGAGAAUUGAAGAAGAUGAUGAUUAGAGGGAGAUUGAGAGAUGAAGAGAAUCCAGAGGAAAUCAGGAGAUGGAAGAGGUGAAGAUUUGAUGGAGAUUUCAGAGCUUGAAGGUUGAAUAGAGAUUGAAGAUCUUGUGGUGAGAUUGAAGAAGAAUGGUGGAGAAUCAAGGUUCUUGGAGAGAGUGGAGAGAUGAGUGGAGGUUUUUGUGAAUGAAGAUUAUAAGUUUGAGAUGAAGCAGAGAAAAAAAAUGGUGGAGAGAGCUUUGAAUUGGGUGGAGGUUUGUUUAAAUAGAGAUUGAUGGAGAAGAAGUUUUCUGAAUUCAGUUAUGGGGUGGUUACAAAUUCUGUUAUGGGGGUUACAGGUUUGCAAGCUCUGUGAUGGCACAAUGUAGGUUGGAAAAAGUUAUGAACAAAGGGCAUGUUUGGAUUGGAUUCUUGCAUUCUGAACCGACUAGCUUUUUGGACUAUGAAGCGGGUUCAGUACUAAAUUUGAACAAAUCCAUGGCAUGGGAAGCUACUUGGAGAGAAGGCACACGGUUGAAAGAUCAAGACAAUGGACUUUAGGAAAUUCUAGUUGACUUUGUAUAGAUUUUCUUGUAUGAAUUUUCUGAUGUAUGUAAUGAUAAUUGGGUUUUAAAGUGGGAGGAAGAAAGAUUGUUAGUAAGAAGUUUGUGACUUUGGUUACAAUGGCUUUUUUUUUGUAAUUCAAUUUUUGUGAUAAAUUGCAUGGACUAGACUUUUGACUUGUGAGUUUAAAUGAUGCUUGAACAAAGGUUUUGUAA